Molecule: ribosomal RNA, 474 nt
Filed under: uncultured bacterium
Lineage: Bacteria
Description: SSU rRNA
Rfam family: Bacterial small subunit ribosomal RNA
Source: RNAcentral
AGAAUCAACGCUGGCGGCGUGCCUAACACAUGCAAGUCGAACGAGAAAGUGGAGCAAUCCAUGAGUAAAGUGGCGACCGGGUGAGUAACACGUGACUAACCUACCUUCGAGUGGGGGAUAACCUCGGGAAACCGGGGCUAAUACCGCAUAACAUCCUUAGAGUGGAAACUCCGGGGAUCAAAGGAGCAAUUCGCUUGAAGAGGGGGUCGCGGCUGAUUAGCUAGUUGGCGGGGUAAUGGCCCACCAAGGCUUUGAUCGGUAGCCGGCCUGAGAGGGCGCACGGCCACACUGGAACUGAAACACGGUCCAGACUCCUACGGGAGGCAGCAGUGGGGAAUUUUGCGCAAUGGGGGAAACCCUGACGCAGCAACGCCGCGUGGAGGAUGAAGUCCCUUGGGACGUAAACUCCUUUCGACCGGGAAGAUUAUGACGGUACGGUGGAAGAAGCCCGGCUAACUUCGUGCCAGCAGCCGC